CAUCUCUGCGUCUCUACACUGUCCGAAACCCUACUCCUUUUUCCAAAACUGGAAAUCACGCCAAAAACAACUACCAGAAAUCACUAACAGUCAUCGAAUUCACCACAAUUCCGGCCAAUUUCAAUGCAUAUCCUUCAACUGAGCACCAACGAUGGACGACAAAUAUAUCUGGGGACUCGAACGAAAAUCGUCACUCAGUUGCUUCCAUGGAGUUCGAAGAUAUUCAUUCGUUUUUAAGGUACUCACUAAAGUUCAAUUCGAAAAUCAGACACAAAAAGGCCGAGAUUAAUAUUUUAGGAAGUGAAAUAAUCAAAACAAAAACCGCAUGCAAAAGGAUAUGAAUCUACAAAAAGCUAAGUCACAAUGACCUCUACCUUUUUUAUUUCUGCGUUAAAGGAAGAAAUUGAAAAUAAUCUGGUCAUUUAAAGUCCUUAUACUUAUUUGUAAAUAUUUCCUUUCAUUUAGGCCAAGCCCUAACUAUUUACUUCACAGGUAAAAUUUAAAAUUUAAUCUGGGCAAUAUUACAAACCCUACAGUUGAGGUAGAACGUACACAAAGACUUACCUAAUUGUUGGCAAUUACAGUGUAACGAAGAUAAGUAUUUUCAACUGAAAUAAGAUUUCCUGAACUAUUUGUGUAUGUUGUAUUUUCAAAUUCUUGGUCUUAGUAUUGAACUAUGAAUUUAGUCAUUUGUUGAAAUCAAUUGCAUGAGUAAUAUGAAAAGGAAGAGUACUAAUUUAUUGAUAUAAUUGUUUAAGCUAUAGGCAGUUUAUGAGACAAAUUUAAACUAAAUCAUACAGAGUAAGUAAAGCCUUUCCAUUUUAAUCAAUUAUCAAAUGUAAAGAGGUCAAUUGCAAUAGUAGUUAAUAAAUUGAUAUCUAUUCUUUAAUUAUAUCUACAAAGAAUUAGAUCUCAAUUUACCUGUAUUUGAUUUGUCCAGUUUUCUCUUGCAACCAAUAGUUCUUGACUUCUCUAUCUACAAUUUAUAUAUACACAAACAACUAUACUUAUAUAUAUAUAUAUAUAUAUAUAUACACUUUCUCACAUAUUUGUCUUUAUAUAUAUGAGUGUACAUAGCUUAAAAGUCACCUCUGAAAAGAGAAUAUUGACUUGGAGAAAAUUAUUGUGAGUUGGUACACAGAACAAUUACCUAUAAUCCGGAUUACAAUUUUUUUUUGUUAAAAAGAGACUGCAUAUUAAAUUCUUACAAAUAGGGCAAAUUAUAGUUCUGUGUCUAUUAGAAACUAACUUGAGUGUCAAUUUUUUCUCUGCCAAUGUAUGAUAAUAACGAACAUCAAUUGUAUUAGUUGUUAUCACAGGCAAUGGAUGUACACAUUUAGUGAAUAGUACUUAUGUUUUCUUACUCCAAAAAGGAUGAAAUUAAUCCAAGUAAAUAAUGACUACAUAUUUUGGUUUGAAUAUUGUCCUCAGAUAAAAUUGAUGAUAAGCAUUUGCCAACAGUUUUUUAUUUUUCCUGUCAAAAACCAGAAGACUUUAGCCAUUAGAAGAUCAUUACAAAGGCAAUAAGAGAGCUAACUGAAUUUGGUGAACAAUACCAAAACAAAGACUCAAAAAAAAAAAGAAAAGGCACAAAGGGUGUGUUUGGAAACCUGGAAAAUGAUUUCUGGAAAUCAUUUUCCGGAUUUGUGGUGUUUGGGAAGGGCAAGGAAAACAAGGUCAAAGGAAAAUAGUAAAUUAGUCAAUGGAAAAUGAGUCUAAUUUGGAGGAAAAUGACUUCCCCUUUUUUUUGGGGGAAGUCAUUUUCCAGAUUUCUCACGCCCUUUGCGGCUUCGCCUUUCACCUCUCACGCCUCUGCUUCGCUUCUCACCUCUCACGCCUCUGCUGCGCUUCUCACUGCUCGCCAUUGCAUCUCACACCUCCUCUUCAUCUGCUCUCUCCAUUUGGCUUCCAGUGGCUCUUCUUCUUCCCAUCAUCAAGCCAAAGGUGCGGCGAAAUCUAGCACCGAUCUCUGCGACGUCUUCUCUUUCAGCAGUCCGGGCCUUGAGAGAAUCAACAGCCGGCUAGCCAUCAUCGGGCUCGCCGCGGCGAUGUGAAUGGAACUGGCCAACAGCGCAGUGCCUCUUAUGCCGCACUACUCUCCGUCCAAACCUCAAUUAUAGCUACAGGUUGAGAGUCUCCGUUGGAGAAAAUUAAGCCACCCUUUGAAGAUUCCAUAGUCGGAAUCAGUAGUCACUCCGUUCGCAAGCUGACGCUUGGCGAUUAGGUGUUUGACAAAAUGUCGGAACAACCCAGAGAUGAAGUGUAAAUUUUUUAUGCAAAGGGUACGCAGCCUCUGAUUUCUGCCUAGUAUUCUUCAGAAGCGACAGCUAGGAAAUAAAAAUGGAAUUAUCCUCUUUGUCGAAGUUUGGUUCACAAGCUCAAGGAUGGAUGCUUAUCAUUUUUGGGUCCAUUUCAUUUUUGCUAUUUGUAUAUGCUGCUGCUUUUUCCAAGUUUCUUCCAGGUUCUGGUAAUCCUAUAAUAGCAGCCAUUCAAAAUGACAGAUACUACUGCUUUUUGGUUCCUUUAACACUUCCUCUCCUUCUUGUUGCUGUAUAUUUUCAUUGGCUCAGCAUGAAUCUCUUUAAGCACGCCUAAUGUGUGAGCAAGUUACCAACCAAAUGAGCCAUCUGCCUACUGUAAGGGUGAUUAUGUAAACCAUUUUAGCUGGUUGAGGAUAAUCGCAGUCAUAGUUACUUAUGCAAGUGACCAUCUCAUCUCGACUCACGAAACCUACCACAAGCUGGAAUUUCAUGAACUUCUGCAGCAUGGCAAAAGGUACCUAAACCACCGGGAAGCAGAAAGACUGGUAAAUAGUCGUUACAUGUGCACUUGCAUGUGAAAAAGAAAACGGCAUAAGGAAGUAUAUGUUCUGAAGCACUGCAGCCACUCCAAUGGUUCCUUUUUAUAGAAUCUGAAUCCACCAACAGGUAAAGGAAUAUGAAGAAUCUUGAUAAGGUUUAGAAAUGGUCCUUCUUCCCCUGUUUUUAGCGCCCUGCCUUCCUUAACAUGGUGUGAACUCUUCAACAACCAUCAUAAAACAGUAUUUUCUUGCUAAGGUGAUAUCAUAAGCAUGCUUAACUACUAAGAUGGUAAUUUGUUGGCUAGUUAGUAGUUUCUAGCUGCUUUACAAAAGUAAACAAUGUUAUGGCAGCAGUAGUUAGUUGGUCACCUUUUGUAGCCGUUGUAUCAUUGUCCCUCUGACUUUAUAUCUUUUUUUAGACUCUUUGAGGAGUGUUAGUAUUGUUCUUCUGACUUUAUAUCUAUUCUGUUGUCCAUUAAAUCACAUCUUAAUGAUUCCUUUUGCAUUAA
This is a long non-coding RNA of Ipomoea triloba (trilobed morning glory), 3309 nucleotides long. RefSeq lists it as uncharacterized. The transcript is spliced from 6 exons. NCBI's taxonomy places the organism in Eukaryota, Viridiplantae, Streptophyta, Magnoliopsida, Solanales, Convolvulaceae. The record is from RefSeq and is a predicted model, not a curated record.